UCAGGUCCCUAUUGCAAUUAAUCAGAAAGUGUUUAGUGGUCGGGUGUGGUGGCUCAUGCCUCUAAUCCCAACACUUUGGGAGGUAGAGGUGGGAGGAUCGCUUGAGGUCAGGAAUUCAAGACCAUCUUGGCCAACAUGGUGAAACCCUGUCUCUACUGAAAAUACAAAAAUUAGCCAGACGUGGUGGCCAGGUGCAGCAGCUCACACCUGUAAUCCCAG
Molecule: long non-coding RNA, 219 nt
Filed under: Homo sapiens (human)
Lineage: Eukaryota; Metazoa; Chordata; Mammalia; Primates; Hominidae
Description: HSALNT0031714
Source: RNAcentral